This 433-nucleotide ribosomal RNA is filed under the name uncultured bacterium. RNAcentral's name for it is "partial 16S ribosomal RNA". It matches the Rfam family "Bacterial small subunit ribosomal RNA", at positions 29 to 507 of the family's 1533-position model. The record is from RNAcentral.
AACGAACGCUGGCGGCAUGCCUAACACAUGCAAGUCGAACGAGACCUUCGGGUUUAGUGGCGCACGGGUGCGUAACGCGUGGGAACCUGCCCUUAGGUUCGGAAUAACUCCCCGAAAGGGGUGCUAAUACCGGAUAAUGUCUUCGGACCAAAGAUUUAUCGCCUUUGGAUGGGCCCGCGUUGGAUUAGCUAGUUGGUAGGGUAAAAGCCUACCAAGGCGACGAUCCAUAGCUGGUCUGAGAGGAUGAUCAGCCACACUGGGACUGAGACACGGCCCAGACUCCUACGGGAGGCAGCAGUGGGGAAUAUUAGACAAUGGGCGAAAGCCUGAUCCAGCAAUGCCGCGUGAGUGAUGAAGGCCUUAGGGUUGUAAAGCUCUUUUACCCGGGAUGAUAAUGACAGUACCGGGAGAAGAAGCUCCGGCUAACUCCGUG